This 499-nucleotide ribosomal RNA is filed under the name uncultured bacterium. RNAcentral's name for it is "partial 16S ribosomal RNA". It matches the Rfam family "Bacterial small subunit ribosomal RNA", at positions 29 to 523 of the family's 1533-position model. The record is from RNAcentral.
AUUGAACGCUGGCGGCAUGCCUUACACAUGCAAGUCGAACGGUAACGCGGGGCAACCUGGCGACGAGUGGCGAACGGGUGAGUAAUGCAUCGGAACGUGCCCAGUAGUGGGGGAUAGCCCGGCGAAAGCCGGAUUAAUACCGCAUACGACCUUCGGGUGAAAGGGGGGGGAUCGCAAGACCUCUCGCUAUUGGAGCGGCCGAUGUCAGAUUAGGUAGUUGGUGGGGUAAAAGCCUACCAAGCCGACGAUCUGUAGCUGGUCUGAGAGGACGACAAGCCACACUGGGACUGAGACACGGCCCAGACUCCUACGGGAGGCAGCAGUGGGGAAUUUUGGACAAUGGGCGCAAGCCUGAUCCAGCCAUGCCGCGUGCGGGAAGAAGGCCUUCGGGUUGUAAACCGCUUUUGUCAGGGAAGAAACGCUUCGAGCUAAUACCUCGGAGUAAUGACGGUACCUGAAGAAUAAGCACCGGCUAACUACGUGCCAGCCGCCGCCGUAA